This 206-nucleotide ribosomal RNA is filed under the name uncultured bacterium. RNAcentral's name for it is "partial 16S ribosomal RNA". It matches the Rfam family "Bacterial small subunit ribosomal RNA", at positions 1294 to 1500 of the family's 1533-position model. The record is from RNAcentral.
CAGAUUGCAGGCUGCAACCCGCCUGCAUGAAGUCGGAAUUGCUAGUAAUCGCGGAUCAGCAUGCCGCGGUGAAUACGUUCCCGGGCCUUGUACACACCGCCCGUCACACCAUGGGAGCCGGUAAUACCCGAAGUCAGUAGUCCAACCUCGUGAGGACGCUGCCGAAGGUAGGAUUGGCGACUGGGGUGAAGUCGUAACAAGGUAGC